AGCACACCCUAAACACACACACACACACACACACACAUACACACAUGCAGGACAAGCCACACAUGCACAUGCACUCAUCAGCGACCACAGCACAACAGCAUCUCACAAUUAAAAACUUUAUUUGUGAAAUUAUGCUUCAUAUAAUUGUGAAUACUUUCCAUACAAAAAUGUAUCCAGAGCAAAGGUUAUGACAUUCAGAGCGAACUCUCUAAUAUCUCUAAGGUCGCGAUUGUUAGCUGGCUGCAUAGCUGGUCAAGUAUGAGGGCAACACGUGUUGCUGGUCAUCAGUUCCUUUGACUACAUUUAAGCACGCAGAGGCAGACUAACAAUCCUGUGACAUACAAAUAUGAUUGUGCUGAUGAACAGUGCUGACUUAAAGGGUAGUUCACUUUAAAGGGGCCACGUCAUAUACACUAUGUUUUAUUGUUUAUUUUUUACCCUGUGGUCCAUUUAUAAUGUUAGUUAAGGUUCUUGUGCCCAAAUUUUGUGUUUUUAGCCAUGUUUUUCAUGUUAAAAUUAAACAAGCUGUUUUAGUUGUUACCAAAUAUGAUCUUUAGCUAUUGAUGCAAUAAAUAGUUCUCUGGCACAUUGGGAUGCAUAUUUGCUGUUGGGGUUCAAUUUUUUUAAAAAAAGACCUAAUGCAGAAAUGAUCAAGGACCUUUGUAAAACUUAAACCAAAAAAAUCAAAAUCAUAAUUUACUUUAAUUGUUAGUUGUUCUGAGUUUACUCACCAGGACUGGGCAGAUCAAGUUACUGAACACUGAAUAGAUACAUUUAGUCAAUUUACUGAAUAGUCAAUGAUUAGUAAAUUUUUUUAGAUUAUAAUUACAACAGAAAUUAGGGACUUCAUAAUGAGCCAUUUUCGUAGCUUAGUAACAUUUUGUUGUUGUUGUUGUUUUGGGACUGGACAGGAUGUUUAGAGUUGAAAUUUACAAAUUAUGUACCGUGAUAACUUUAGUUUAAAAAAUGAUCAAGGAAAGUUCACUUUUACUAGUUACUCAUGAUAUGGCCCCUUUAAUUCAUGUCACUUCCUAAAAUAAACAGAGAAAAGAAGCAAGUGAUAUCUUUUCCCGAUUAAACAUUUCCCAAUUACACA
Molecule: long non-coding RNA, 1096 nt
Organism: Sinocyclocheilus rhinocerous
Lineage: Eukaryota; Metazoa; Chordata; Actinopteri; Cypriniformes; Cyprinidae
Exons: 3
Source: RefSeq, a predicted model, not a curated record